RNAcentral lists this ribosomal RNA (498 nucleotides) under uncultured bacterium. RNAcentral's name for it is "partial 16S ribosomal RNA". It matches the Rfam family "Bacterial small subunit ribosomal RNA", at positions 28 to 508 of the family's 1533-position model. The record is from RNAcentral.
GAUGAACGCUGGCGGCGUGCCUAAUACAUGCAAGUCGAGCGAACAGACGAGGAGCUUGCUCCUCUGACGUUAGCGGUGGACGGGUGAGUAACACGUGGAUAACCUACCUAUAAGACUGGGAUAACUUCGGGAAACCGGAGCUAAUACCGGGUAAUAUAUUGAACCGCAUGGUUCAAUAGUGAAAGACGGUUUUGCUGUCACUUAUAGAUGGAUCCGCGCCGCAUUAGCUAGUUGGUAAGGUAACGGCUUACCAAGGCAACGAUGCGUAGCCGACCUGAGAGGGGGAUCGGCCACACUUGAACUGAGACACCGUCCAGACUCCUACGGGAGGCAGCAGUAGGGAAUCUUCCGCAAUGGGCGAAAGCCUGACGGAGCAACGCCGCGUGAGUGAUGAAGGUCUUCGGAUCGUAAAACUCUGGUAUUAGGGAAGAACAAAUGUGUAAGUAACUAUGCACGUCUUGACGGUACCUAAUCAGAAAGCCACGGCUAACUACGUUC